UAUACUUGGUUUCAUAUUCAUACAAAUGUCGUACUACAAUCUGUUUUUAUCUCUUUAGUUCUCUUCUUCCACGCUGUUGGAGUCCUCACUCAAUCUAUCUAAGAUCAAAAAUGCCUUGGGACUGUUGGAGUCCUCACUAUCUAUAUUUAUAGCCGAGAGAAACAAGCAUAAAGCUUCAUCUUCUUACAAGAGGGAUGAAGAUGGCUAGGAGAACAAAAAUGCCUUAGGACUGUGUGGCGUUUUUCCAUCAAGCUUUGCCAGACUUUGUUGGAAAUUGACUAGACUGUGCGUGCAAUAUUUGUAUUUUUUUUCUUUCCUGAUAAAGAUACUAUGCAGUGUAUGUGCAAUGUAGAUGAAUGUUAGUAAAAAAAUAGAUGAAUGCUAGGCAUAGAUGUAUAGGGUGUGAAUGGUAGAGAUGAAUGUUAGGCAUAUGCGAAGUGUAUAGAUGCAUGUUAGGAUGUGAAUGGUAUAGAUGAAUGUUAGGAUGUGAAUGGUAUAGAUGAAUGUUAUAGGGUGUGAAUGGUAUAGAUGAAUGUUAGGAUGUGAAUGGUAUAGAUAAAUGUUAGGCAUAUGCGAAUUGUAUAGAUGAAUGUGUUAGGGUGUGAAUGAUAUUAUAGAUGAAUGUUGUUAGGGUG
Camelina sativa (false flax) is the source of this 635-nucleotide long non-coding RNA. RefSeq lists it as uncharacterized. The record is from RefSeq and is a predicted model, not a curated record. Lineage: Eukaryota; Viridiplantae; Streptophyta; Magnoliopsida; Brassicales; Brassicaceae.